This 458-nucleotide ribosomal RNA is filed under the name uncultured bacterium. RNAcentral's name for it is "bacterial SSU rRNA". It matches the Rfam family "Bacterial small subunit ribosomal RNA", at positions 349 to 793 of the family's 1533-position model. The record is from RNAcentral.
CAGCAGUGGGGAAUAUUGCACAAUGGGGGAAACCCUGAUGCAGCCAUGCCGCGUGUGUGAAGAAGGCCUUCGGGUUGUAAAGCACUUUCAGUAGGGAGGAAGGUAGUGUAGUUAACACCUGCAUUAUUUGACGUUACCUACAGAAGAAGCACCGGCUAACUCCGUGCCAGCAGCCGCGGUAAUACGGAGGGGUGCGAGCGUUAAUCGGAAUUACUGGGCGUAAAGCGCAUGCAGGCGGCUUGUUAAGUCAGAUGUGAAAGCCCCGGGGCUUAACCUCGGAAUUGCAUUUUGAAACUGGCAGGCUAGAGUCUUGUAGAGGGGGGUAGGAAUUUCAGGUGUAGCGGUGAAAUGCGUAGAGAUCUGAAGGAAUACCAGUGGCGAAGGCGGCCCCCCUGGACAAAGACUGACGCUCAGAUGCGAAAGCGUGGGGAGCAAACAGGAUUAGAUACCCCUGGUAG